Long non-coding RNA from Solanum pennellii, 661 nucleotides. RefSeq lists it as uncharacterized. NCBI's taxonomy places the organism in Eukaryota, Viridiplantae, Streptophyta, Magnoliopsida, Solanales, Solanaceae. The transcript has 3 exons. The record is from RefSeq and is a predicted model, not a curated record.
ACGGUUAGCGAAAUCUAUGGCAACAGUUAUUUUAGAAAAAAUAUUUUGGUUCUGAUUUUUAUCACUAGAAAUAUAUUUUCCUCCUAAACAAUAUAUUUCCCUCCUAAACAAUAUUGUCUCACAUAAAAAAAUCUAAAAGAAAAAAAAACCCUAUUUCCGCUCUCAACGAAAUGGCGAGGAACGACGAAGCAACAGGAAACGAUUGCAGCAGUUAUUCAGAAGUUUUAGCGAGCUUUUGGUGAUGAAACAAGAGGGAACGAUUUCUAAGCUCUUGAUAACAGGCUCUUGAACAACGAAGCUUUUGGUGAAGCUCGUUGGUUCUAUUGGACAGCUAGGGUCAACUAUAAUUCUUCCAUAUAAAGGUGAAUAAUGUUCUGUUGCAGUGUGGUGUGACUACUUAAGUUUUGUACACUUUCUGCAUCUGGAAUUUCUAAGGUGAUGAAAUCGAAGAAGGCGAUGAAAGCAGUAGCGAAGACUUGACAUAUGAGCUGAAGUAUUGAUGUUCUAGAAAUCAUAUAUUUUUGAAGAUUGAAAAUUGUGUGGUGCAUGUGUUUCACCUUUUUUGAAUGCUAUAAAAAGAUUUGUAUAUUUUGCUUUUAUUGAUAUUAGAAUUACGGAUCUUGAAUUCUAAUUUUGGUAAUGAACAUUUUUUCUCGUGAAC